Molecule: long non-coding RNA, 1057 nt
Organism: Magnolia sinica
Lineage: Eukaryota; Viridiplantae; Streptophyta; Magnoliopsida; Magnoliales; Magnoliaceae
Exons: 2
Source: RefSeq, a predicted model, not a curated record
GGGAGAUGUUAUUCCAGUGGUCCCGUAUCAUCUGAAGGUUAGGCUGCAAGUUUUAGUUGUGUUCCUACAAAGUGUUAGGCAACUAGUCGUUGUCACUUUCAGAACCUGUCUUUCAACAAACCGGCAUGCCCAUAACCAUGAUGUGAAUGUUCUUUUGUUCAGACUGUCAUUCUGUUUUGUUCCCUUGUGCAGCAGUAUAGAUGGUUGCAGAUAGGGGUGGGUUGCUGUGGACUGAUGCGCUGCUCUGAUCUGCUGAUGUUCAUAGGGAUGGCUAUGCUAUGAUGAAGGAAUGGAUAUUGUAUGUUGAAGCAAAAGGUUGCUGAUAUCAGGUAUCUCUAGAGCCGUUCCAUGCAUUUCCAUUUCAUCUCCACUGGGAAAGGCCAACUCUGUUGUAGUGACAGUGCAGAAAAUAUGCCAAAGAUUGGAUUGAUUUGGGAUGAAUUUCUUUUUCUGCUAGGGGAGGUAUUUUGUAAAUGGGCUCAUAUGAUAGGCAACAUUCCAAGUUUUUAAUGGGAUCAUGCCAGAAUGUAGCAGUCUUGUUACAAGUUUGUUAAUUAAAAAAAAAAAAAUUCUAUUGAAAAAAGGAAGAAGAAGAAAAGAAGAUAAACCCAUGCCUAGCCCAUUUCAGGCUGGUCUCGUGUACCAUGGGGUUACCAUGCCCAUAACGACCCUUACUCUUGACUAAAUUUAAGAAAUUUGUAAUUCUUUUUAAUAAAAUUUUCUUAUUCUUAAAAAUGGUAUAACGGGACAGUAUUUUCUUUGUGAAAUGUGUAAAUUAGUAGUAAUACGAUGAACUUUACUAUGAUGUCUUGAAGACCCCUUUAUGGUUGAUAUUUGAUUUCGAGUUUGUGAUGUUAUUUUUAUUUUUACUACAUUUUAUCUUUUAAUUGGGUGUGAUCCAAAUUCAUUUGAAGGCACUGGGUUCUUUUUCUUUUUCUGUUUUUAAAUUCCAGUUACUUGUACAAGCCCCAUUUUGCUUCUUCUGUAAAUCUUGUGGAAUUGGGCUCAUUUAACAUACAAUUAGUUUAAAUUCUAAUAAUAGUGCUAAAGUUGUCUA